UACGUAGGUGGCAAGCGUUAUCCGGAAUUAUUGGGCGUAAAGCGCGCGCAGGUGGUUUCUUAAGUCUGAUGUGAAAGCCCACGGCUCAACCGUGGAGGGUCAUUGGAAACUGGGAGACUUGAGUGCAGAAGAGGAGAGUGGAAUUCCACGUGUAGCGGUGAAAUGCGUAGAUAUGUGGAGGAACACCAGUGGCGAAGGCGACUCUCUGGUCUGUCACUGACACUGAGGCUCGAAAGCGUGGGGAGCAAACAGG
RNAcentral lists this ribosomal RNA (253 nucleotides) under uncultured microorganism. RNAcentral's name for it is "partial 16S ribosomal RNA". It matches the Rfam family "Bacterial small subunit ribosomal RNA", at positions 524 to 776 of the family's 1533-position model. The record is from RNAcentral.